GCCUUCUCAUCUCGAAAAGAAACUUCAGUAGAAUGCUGGUACGCCUACCCAUGAUGCCUUAAACAAACUCAUGUCUCCAAUUUGUGCAAUUUCAGUCUGCUCUUAAACUAUGAGUGACAGUUUGUUCUUGAAAAGUAAAUUCACUAAGUCAGCUACAUAUGACAUGCUCUGAAAACUAGGAUGUAGCGUCAUGCAUGGUGUUUAAUUUAUUGUAGAGUUGCACUACAUGAUUGUACAAUCUAUUAUCUGCUCCUUAAUUUCCAUGUCUAUCCUGUGUGAUGGAUCCAGGUUGGAUUUUACGUGUAUCUUUCUAAUUGCUCAAGAUGCAUAUUGUUAAAUACAUCAAUAUGGUUUUCCCACCAGUUGGCCAUUUAUGCUCUCUCUGUAUCCACCUUUGCAUAGCAUUAGAUAAGGAUCCAGAUUUUUGCUGUCGAGGUUGUGCCUAUUAGUUAUGUACAAUGAGCAAUUACUCUGCUCUUGAUACAUACCUAUUCUUGUGAGUGUCAAUAUUAUCUCUUUUAUGUAACUUUUGGUCCACACUUUGGUAUCCACUACCAUGAGAACUAGGAAUAUGCUUGCUUGCAGUUUGUGUACUGCCCGCAAUUCUAGAAGAGGGAGAAGUUGCACGAACGCGGCAAGGCAACCAGUACGGCGUGGCUACGGGCGAAGCUGGGUGGCACAGCGGUGUCGUUGAUCGCGGAUGUGUCCGGUGGAGAGCCGAGGUAUGGCAUGCAGCUGCUUGCGGCGCGGCCAUACGCCUACCUGGAUAGUUGGCUGUCAAGCAUGGGUUGGGCGUGGCGGCGCACUUGGCAAAAUCAUGAAGAUUUUUCUUAUUGGUCCUCCAAUUAUUCUCUGCACUAAAGAAUCAUGCUCAUCUGUUGUAGGUCAGUUUUGUUAUUUUCUCCAGCAAUGCCGCUUUACAUUGAUGGUUCAUGUGUUCAAAGUUUGGAUGGCUGAAGCUUGUUGCAAUAUUGUGUUAUCACCCGUUCAAAGCUUGGUUUGGUCUUGAUUGUACAAUGGCAGUUAUUAUCUAUACAAUCUUCUUCGCAAGGCUAGCCUUCUUCCACUGUUCAAGGGUUCGAAAAUCACCUUACACUUUAAAAGCCUAAAAGGUGUAUUAUGGCAUGAAACCUCAAAAGCUAUUUACCAGUUUAACAACUAUACUAUCCUGCUAAUUUCACAGCUUCAGUUUCAUCAGUCGUCACAUGAACAUAUACACUAUUUUGCUUUGGCUAGAUCUGGAUUGGUUAGUUGACCAUUUAAGUACGCUUUUGGAUCUUUCUUAUCUCUUUUAUUUCUCAUGGGUUAUGCAACAUGCACAUUGGUGUCACAUUUUUUAGAUGUGAUCCUAAUAUGUUACUCCCUUCGUAAAGAAAUAUAAGAACGUUUAGAUCACUACUUUAGUGAUCUAAACACUCUUAUAUUUCUUUGUAGAGGGAGUACCUUAUAAUCCCUUUUGUGACCAGUCAGUUCAGUCUGAUGGAUGUUUCAUUUGUCUUAGAAUUACAAGGAAAAGGAGUACUUUUAUUUGGUAGAUAUUAUUUCAGAAUCUUGUUGGCUGAAGAAUUCAGUUGAAAAGGUAUGUCAUUUAGCUCUUAUUCUACUUCCCACUGUUUGUGUUUAUUGUUCUUUUUUGCCGGUGCGAACAUGGAUACAGAGCAUUUGUAUGUGCCAAGCAUUGUGUAAAUAUUGUGGCCAAUUUGUCAUACGUUUGGCAAAUAACAAAGCGGAACAAAGCUAUUAGUCUUUGCAAGUUGUAGUGCAAAGAAAUCUUUGCACCUGGUCACAUGGUUAGGAUAUGUCUACUCCUAGCGAUACUUCAAAUAAAAUCUAGACACCAGUGACUACAGGCUGUGAUUAAUUUGAGCAGAGGAAGCUGGGGAGCAGGACUAAAGUUGUUCUUAUUGUGGUCCCAGCUGCAACAUACUUAACAUGAAGUUGGUACAUGUUGAAGGAAAUCUGGGAUUAUUGUUCGUUUAUAUCAAAAUUGUUGCUUCCUAAUAUACAUGCUUGAUAGCUUAUCUGAGGCCUCAUAAUUUCUGGUGUACAUCUAGAUGUCCAACGUUUUGAAGUGCACACAAAAAUCAUAUUGCAUUACAUUGAACAGUCCACCACAAACUACACUCUUAUUAGGUGAUAAGUUAUAACCCAGAACCAUAGUACCGC
RNAcentral lists this long non-coding RNA (2166 nucleotides) under Triticum aestivum (bread wheat). Its description in RNAcentral is "long non-coding RNA (TAES_LNC007949)". The record is from RNAcentral. Lineage: Eukaryota; Viridiplantae; Streptophyta; Magnoliopsida; Poales; Poaceae.